This 563-nucleotide ribosomal RNA is filed under the name Psychrobacter celer. RNAcentral's name for it is "bacterial SSU rRNA". It matches the Rfam family "Bacterial small subunit ribosomal RNA", at positions 894 to 1455 of the family's 1533-position model. The record is from RNAcentral. Lineage: Bacteria; Pseudomonadati; Pseudomonadota; Gammaproteobacteria; Moraxellales; Moraxellaceae.
UUAAAACUCAAAUGAAUNGNCGGGGGCCCGCACNAGCGGUGGAGCAUGUGGUUUACUUCGAUGCAACGCGAAGAACCUUACCUGGUCUUGACAUAUCUAGAAUCCUGCAGAGAUGCGGGAGUGCCUUCGGGAAUUAGAAUACAGGUGCUGCAUGGCUGUCGUCAGCUNGUGUCGUGAGAUGUUGGGUUAAGUCCCGCAACGAGCGCAACCCUUGUCCUUAGUUACCAGCGGGUUAAGCCGGGAACUCUAAGGAUACUGCCAGUGACAAACUGGAGGAAGGCGGGGACGACGUCAAGUCAUCAUGGCCCUUACGACCAGGGCUACACACNUGCUACAAUGGUAGGUACAGAGGGCAGCUACACAGCGAUGUGAUGCGAAUCUCAAAAAGCCUAUCGUAGUCCAGAUUGGAGUNUGCAACUCGACUCCAUGAAGUAGGAAUCGCUAGUAAUCGCGGAUCAGAAUGCCGCGGUGAAUACGUUCCCGGGCCUUGUACACACCGCCCGUCACACCAUGGGAGUUGAUUGCACCAGAAGUGGUUAGCCGAACCUUUUAGGACGGCGAUC